RNAcentral lists this ribosomal RNA (411 nucleotides) under Isotoma viridis. RNAcentral's name for it is "partial 28S ribosomal RNA". The record is from RNAcentral. Lineage: Eukaryota; Metazoa; Arthropoda; Collembola; Entomobryomorpha; Isotomidae.
CCUCUCGGGGGUAAGCGGGCAGAACUUGCAAGUAAUGGUGGGAAUAUUCAAGCUUAAUAUUGGCAGAUGAGGGUACUCUUUUAUGUGCUCCGUUCGCGGGGUUGCUGAUGUGUGCUCUUUUACUGUUGAUGAUGCGCUGCAUUUAUUUCCAUCUACGGGUUGCAUGUGAUUGAGAGUGUAGUUUAGGUGCUGAGGAUCUGUGAAGUCUUGUUAUUUCAAGUCUUGGUUUCCAACUACCUCUGCGAUCAUUGAAUCAUGAGCAGGCGUUUGACGCGGUCAAUGGUUCGUACGAGUCGUGCACUUACGAUAUGUAGACGGGUAACCGUAGCAUGUUGGAAGCGGCUGGCUGUCAGUAUGGGCUGAUUGGCACUGUUCUAGGAUUGCGAUCUAAUGCAUGCGUGGUCUGCCUGU